Molecule: ribosomal RNA, 558 nt
Filed under: Saccharomycopsis fibuligera
Lineage: Eukaryota; Fungi; Ascomycota; Saccharomycetes; Ascoideales; Saccharomycopsidaceae
Description: partial large subunit ribosomal RNA
Rfam family: Eukaryotic large subunit ribosomal RNA
Source: RNAcentral
CUUAGUACGGCGAGUGAAGCGGCAAAAGCUCAAAUUUGAAAGCUAGCACCUUCGGUGUUCGCGUUGUAAUUUGAAGAUAGUUUCCUUGAGUAGUCCUUUAUCUAUGUUCCUUGGAACAGGACGUCAUAGAGGGUGAGAACCCCGUAUGAUUUUGGAUACUACUCUUUGUGGGAUUCUAUCGAAGAGUCGAGUUGUUUGGGAAUGCAGCUCUAAGUGGGUGGUAAAUUCCAUCUAAAGCUAAAUAUUGGCGAGAGACCGAUAGCGAACAAGUACAGUGAUGGAAAGAUGAAAAGAACUCUGAAGAGAGAGUGAAAAAGUACGUGAAAUUGCUGAAAGGGAAGGGCUUGAGGUCAGACUUGGUGUUUAAUGAUUAUCAGUUCUUCUUGGACUGUGCACUCGUUUUUCACCGGGCCAAUAUCAGUUUUAGCGGUAGAGUACCCCUUGAAAUGUGGCUUCCUUCGGGGAGUGUUAUAGUCUUGGGGAGAUCUACUUGCUGGGACUGAGGACUGCGCUUCGGCAAGGAUAUUGGCGUAAUGACCUUAAGCCGCCCGUCUGAAA